CCUACGGGAGGCAGCAGUGGGGAAUAUUGCACAAUGGGGGAAACCCUGAUGCAGCGACGCCGCGUGAGUGAAGAAGGAUUUCGGUACGUAAAGCUCUAUCAGCAGGGAAGAAAAUGACGGUACCUGACUAAUAAGCGCCGGCUAACUACGUGCCAGCAGCCGCGGUAAUACGUAGGGGGCAAGCGUUAUCCGGAUGUACUGGGUGUAAAGGGAGCGUAGACGGCCGUGCAAGUCUGGAGUGAAAUCCCAUGGCUUAACCAUGGAACUGCUUAGGAAACUGGGCAGCUAGAGUGCAGGAGAGGGAAGCGGAAUUCCAGGUGUAGCGGUGAAAUGCGUAGAUAUUAGGAGGAACACCAGUGGCGAAGGCGGCUUACUGGACUGUAACUGACGUUGAGGCUCGAAAGCGUGGGGAGCAAACAGGAGUAGAUACCCCUGUAGUC
Molecule: ribosomal RNA, 440 nt
Filed under: uncultured bacterium
Lineage: Bacteria
Description: partial 16S ribosomal RNA
Rfam family: Bacterial small subunit ribosomal RNA
Source: RNAcentral